This 426-nucleotide ribosomal RNA is filed under the name Triticum aestivum (bread wheat). Its description in RNAcentral is "partial small subunit ribosomal RNA". The record is from RNAcentral. Lineage: Eukaryota; Viridiplantae; Streptophyta; Magnoliopsida; Poales; Poaceae.
AUGACGACAGCUCGCUCCGUGGCGGUGCUCAUGGCCAUCGUCCUGGUUGCCUCGGUCCUCUCCGGACCACCGGCCUUCGCCGCCGCCGCCAACUGCGACCUCCAGAAGGACCUCUUCAUAACGCAGAGCCUCGGCGAGCUUCAGAGGGACGGCUCGUCGAUGUACAGGGUGACCGUGACGAACCAGUGCGCCGGCGACGAACGCACGGGCAGGCCCUGCGUCAUCUCCAGGGUCCAGCUGCAGUGCGGCAACUUCCGCUCCGUCGUCCCCGUCGACCCCAAGGUGCUCCGCGUCGUUGUCCCCGGCGUCUGCCUCCUCAACGCCGGCCACUCCAUCCCGCAGGACCGCAACGUCUCCUUCGUCUACACCAGCUACCUGCGUGAAAAUCUCUACGUCCUCUCCGCCGUGUGCAGCCUCGGACGUUGA